UCCUACGGGAGGCAGCAGUGAGGAAUAUUGGUCAAUGGGCGCAAGCCUGAACCAGCCACGUCGCGUGAAGGAAGACGGCCCUACGGGUUGUAAACUUCUUUUGUAAGGGAAUAAAGUGUAGUACGUGUACUAUUUUGCAUGUACCUUACGAAUAAGGAUCGGCUAACUCCGUGCCAGCAGCCGCGGUAAUACGGAGGAUCCGAGCGUUAUCCGGAUUUAUUGGGUUUAAAGGGUGCGCAGGCGGGAGAUUAAGUCGGCGGUGAAAUUUUGCAGCUUAACUGUAAAAGUGCCUUCGAAACUGGUUUCCUUGAGUGUAGAUGAAGUAGGCGGAAUUUGUGGUGUAGCGGUGAAAUGCAUAGAUAUCACGAGGAACUCCGAUUGCGCAGGCAGCUUACUAAACUACUACUGACGCUCAGGCACGAAGGCGUGGGGAUCAAACAGGAUUAGAUACCCUGGUAGUCCACGCAGUAAACGAUGAUUACUCGCUGUUUGCGAUAUACAGUAAGCGGCUUAGCGAAAGCGUUAAGUAAUCCACCUGGGGAGUACGUUCGCAAGAAUGAAACUCAAAGGAAUUGACGG
Molecule: ribosomal RNA, 579 nt
Filed under: uncultured bacterium
Lineage: Bacteria
Description: bacterial SSU rRNA
Rfam family: Bacterial small subunit ribosomal RNA
Source: RNAcentral